Molecule: ribosomal RNA, 479 nt
Filed under: uncultured prokaryote
Description: bacterial SSU rRNA
Rfam family: Bacterial small subunit ribosomal RNA
Source: RNAcentral
GCGCGGCCACGCCCACCGCACCUCAUCUGCAAUGUAUGUGUGGUACCAUCUUUCGUGUUACAAGCUGACGUACUAGGUGUCGCGGGUACCGCUGUCCAAGUGGGAAAGAAGUGUUUUAUGGCUAAUAUCCCUGAUACUUGACGGUACCCCUAAAGGAAGCACCGGCUAACUCCGUGCCAGCAGCCGCGGUAAUACGGGGGGUGCAAGCGUUGUUCGGAAUUAUUGGGCGUAAAGCGCGUGUAGGCGGUUUGAUUAGUCUGAUGUGAAAGCCCUGGGCUCAACCCAGGAAGUGCAUUGGAAACUGUCAGACUUGAAUACGGGAGAGGGUAGUGGAAUUCCUAGUGUAGGAGUGAAAUCCGUAGAUAUUAGGAGGAACACCGGUGGCGAAGGCGGCUACCUGGACCGAUAUGGACGCUGAGACGCGAAAGCGUGGGUAGCAAACAGGAUUAGAUACCCUGGUAGUCCACGCCGUAAACGAU